Molecule: long non-coding RNA, 958 nt
Organism: Felis catus (domestic cat)
Lineage: Eukaryota; Metazoa; Chordata; Mammalia; Carnivora; Felidae
Exons: 3
Source: RefSeq, a predicted model, not a curated record
GUCCCUGACAUAUACCAGCUGGUUAAGGAGCGUAUUUCUAGACCACGCAGAAAAGAGGAAAUUAAAAAGAACCUAAUACUCACGUGAAAUUGAAUUCAAGAUGGACUUCACAUCCACUAUUUAAGUUGAAAUCUCUGAACUUCCUCAAAGCAACCUUCUUCUGGCAGUGUAUGCGGAGGUCCCCAAGGCACUCAAGAACCGCUUGGGAAGGAGCUACAGCUAUACUUUUUGCAAUGAUGGAGGGUCGAAUAACAAUGAAAAAAGAAUUGAUGAAGUACUAAGGAAGAUGAAGUCAUCCAGUAGAAAGACCUUGGGCCCUGACACAAGUGUGGAAGACUUUGGAUCUUGAAGCUACAUGGGACUACCUCAUCAACUUUUAUGUGAGCAAGAAGAAAACUUUGUAUUAUGUUAAGCCAUUAAAAUUGUGAAGGCCUAUUUAUUACAGCAGCUACCAUGAUCUCACUGAUACAAUUCCAUAUUUAUUUUUAAAUUCAUGGACAAUUUGUCUUUAAAUUGACAUAUAUAAACACUUAGAGUGAUUAUUAAUACGGUUGAAUUAAAAACCCACUAUGUUUAAUGUUCUAAUUAUUAUAUUUGUUCUUUGUUUCAUUUUAUUUCCCUCUUCCGCGUUCUCCAGUUUCAAGUGAGCAUUUUAUGUGAUUCCAUUUUAUGUCCUCUCACACCAUAUCAAUUAUACUUCUUUAAAAAAUAUUUUUAGUAGUUGACUUGAAAUUUCAAACAUGUCCUUUUAACCAGUUUAAGUCCACCUUCAAAUAACUACAAUGCUUCAUGUGUAUAUGAUGCAGUUACCUUAUUAUAGAGUAUUCCCUAUUCCUCUCUCCAGUCUCAUUUAUUUUACUUAUCCAUGUGCUAUAAUAACCCAAUAUAUUAUAACUAUUAUUGCUAUUAUAUUAAAAAUGGAAAAACGAUUAGAGACAUCAUUUUACCUUGAUUUAUU